UACGUAGGGUGCGAGCGUUGUCCGGAAUUACUGGGCGUAAAGAGCUCGUAGGUGGUUUGUCGCGUUGUUCGUGAAAUCUCACGGCUUAACUGUGAGCGUGCGGGCGAUACGGGCAGACUGGAGUACUGCAGGGGAGACUGGAAUUCCUGGUGUAGCGGUGGAAUGCGCAGAUAUCAGGAGGAACACCGAUGGCGAAGGCAGGUCUCUGGGCCAUAACUGACGCUGAGAAGCGAAAGCAUGGGGGAGCGAACAGG
This 254-nucleotide ribosomal RNA is filed under the name uncultured bacterium. RNAcentral describes it as "partial 16S ribosomal RNA". It matches the Rfam family "Bacterial small subunit ribosomal RNA", at positions 524 to 776 of the family's 1533-position model. The record is from RNAcentral.